Molecule: ribosomal RNA, 253 nt
Filed under: uncultured bacterium
Lineage: Bacteria
Description: partial 16S ribosomal RNA
Rfam family: Bacterial small subunit ribosomal RNA
Source: RNAcentral
UACGUAGGGUGCAGGCGUUAAUCGGAAUUACUGGGCGUAAAGCGUGCGCAGGCGGUUUGCUAAGUGAGAUGUGAAAUCCCCGGGCUUAACCUGGGAACUGCGUUUCUAACUGGCAGGCUUGAGUGUGGCAGAGGGGGGUGGAAUUCCCCGUGUAGCAGUGAAAUGCGUAGAGAUGGGGAGGAACACCGAUGGCGAAGGCAGCCCCCUGGGCUAACACUGACGCUCAUGCACGAAAGCGUGGGGAGCAAACAGG